UACGUAGGGGGCUAGCGUUGUCCGGAUUUAUUGGGCGUAAAGAGCGUGUAGGCGGCCAGGUAGGUCUGGUGUGAAAACUCGAGGCUUAACCUCGAGAUGUCAUCGGAAACCAUCUGGCUAGAGUCCGGAAGAGGAGAGUGGAAUUCCUGGUGUAGCGGUGAAAUGCGCAGAUAUCAGGAAGAACACCAAUGGCGAAAGCAGCUCUCUGGGACGGUACUGACGCUGAGACGCGAAAGCGGGGGGGAGCGAACAGG
Molecule: ribosomal RNA, 254 nt
Filed under: uncultured bacterium
Lineage: Bacteria
Description: partial 16S ribosomal RNA
Rfam family: Bacterial small subunit ribosomal RNA
Source: RNAcentral